Musa acuminata AAA Group (dessert banana) is the source of this 693-nucleotide long non-coding RNA. RefSeq lists it as uncharacterized. The transcript has 3 exons. NCBI's taxonomy places the organism in Eukaryota, Viridiplantae, Streptophyta, Magnoliopsida, Zingiberales, Musaceae. The record is from RefSeq and is a predicted model, not a curated record.
AGAGGGUAGAAAGAGAGGGAAAGACUGCGGGUGGAAGAACAGAGAUGGCGGAGCCAGAGGUGGAGGCCUUUGAGAAUGUUGCACGAAGAUGUUGAAAAUUAAGCAUCAUAAUUUGGCCUUCCUCCAAAAAAGAUCUCUGCUAGUCGAGCAUUUUAUUCUGAAAUCAACAUCAACACCUGCACUUCAAAAACAUGAUUUCUCUACUAAUUAGUGCAGUAUCACUGCACAGUGCUUCGGAGUCUAUCACAUGCAAUCGACCCUGCAAGGUACAUCCUCAUUACAAAUUUCUCGAGUUAUUUGAAUCUUUAAGCUGAUGCUUGAUGCUAAUUUAUAAGUUGAAAUCAAGAUGGUUUAGCCUUGUGAAAGCUAUCGUGUUCUCAGCUUAGGAUGCAUAUAUUCUAAUCUAUUAUCCUCCUGUCACGUAGUAAACCAUCCAUGAUAUUGCUAGAUAACGGUAGGGGGCACAGGUGGGGCAACAUGGGGUUUGGCUGCACACACAGCUUCGUAAGUAUCCUAAGAGGAAAGCAACAAUAUUGGGUGGACGUUGCUUUCACUUUCUCCUGUGUGUGCUCGUGCUUGAGAGCUUUUAGUUUGGAUAAGGUGUCAUAGUGCUGGUUUCAUGAUAGGCACUCGUUGACAUCGUUAUACUUGGAGGAAUCUGAUAUCUCUGGAGAGUUACUACUUUGAUGUAAC